Molecule: ribosomal RNA, 529 nt
Filed under: uncultured bacterium
Lineage: Bacteria
Description: bacterial SSU rRNA
Rfam family: Bacterial small subunit ribosomal RNA
Source: RNAcentral
AAUAGAUACCCCGGUAGUCCACGCCCUAAACGAUGCGAACUGGAUGUACGUCUCAACUCGGAGAUGUGUGUCGAAGCUAACGCGUUAAGUUCGCCGCCUGGGGAGUACGGUCGCAAGACUGAAACUCAAAGGAAUUGACGGGGGCCCGCACAAGCGGUGGAGUAUGUGGUUUAAUUCGAUGCAACGCGAAGAACCUUACCUGGCCUUGACAUGUCCGGAAUUCUGCAGAGAUGCGGGAGUGCCUUCGGGAGCCGGAACACAGGUGCUGCAUGGCUGUCGUCAGCUCGUGUCGUGAGAUGUUGGGUUAAGUCCCGCAACGAGCGCAACCCUUGUCCCUAGUUGCCAGCACGUAAUGGUGGGAACUCUAGGGAGACUGCCGGUGACAAACCGGAGGAAGGUGGGGAUGACGUCAAGUCCUCAUGGCCCUUACGGCCAGGGCUACACACGUACUACAAUGGUCGGUACAGAGGGUUGCGAAGCCGCGAGGUGGAGCCAAUCCCAGAAAGCCGAUCCCAGUCCGGAUCGGAGU